RNAcentral lists this transfer RNA (88 nucleotides) under Streptomyces hygroscopicus subsp. sporocinereus. Its description in RNAcentral is "tRNA-Ala". Lineage: Bacteria; Bacillati; Actinomycetota; Actinomycetes; Kitasatosporales; Streptomycetaceae. The record is from RNAcentral.
GGCCUGUCGGUAACAGGGCCAGGCUUGUUCGCAACGGGUCCGGGCUUUUCGGUACGGGGCCGGGCUUGUUCGAAACGGGUCCGGGCCG